This 507-nucleotide ribosomal RNA is filed under the name uncultured Glomeromycotina. Its description in RNAcentral is "partial small subunit ribosomal RNA". It matches the Rfam family "Eukaryotic small subunit ribosomal RNA", at positions 591 to 1092 of the family's 1831-position model. The record is from RNAcentral. Lineage: Eukaryota; Fungi; Glomeromycota.
CCAAUAGCGUAUAUUAAAGUUGUUGCAGUUAAAAAGCUCGUAGUUGAAUUUCGGGAUUUGCAUAUUGGUCGUGCCUUAAGGGGUAUGAACUGGUGCUGUUGAUUUCUCACCUUCUGGAGAACCGUGAUGUCCUUAAUUGGGUGUCUUGAGGAACCAGGACCUUUACUUUGAAAAAAUUAGAGUGUUUAAAGCAGGCAUUUUUGCUCGAAUACAUUAGCAUGGAAUAAUAGAAUAGGACGGCAUGAUUCUAUUUUGUUGGUUUCUAGGAUCACCGUAAUGAUUAAUAGGGAUAGUUGGGGGCAUUAGUAUUCAAUUGUCAGAGGUGAAAUUCUUGGAUUUAUUGAAGACUAACUACUGCGAAAGCAUUUGCCAAGGAUGUUUUCAUUAAUCAAGAACGAAAGUUAGGGGAUCGAAGACGAUCAGAUACCGUCGUAGUCUUAACCAUAAACUAUGCCGACUAGGAAUCAGACGAUGUUAAUUUUUUAAUGACUCGUUUGGCACCUUACG